This is a long non-coding RNA of Culex quinquefasciatus (southern house mosquito), 1103 nucleotides long. RefSeq lists it as uncharacterized. NCBI's taxonomy places the organism in Eukaryota, Metazoa, Arthropoda, Insecta, Diptera, Culicidae. The transcript has 3 exons. The record is from RefSeq and is a predicted model, not a curated record.
UGAGCAGGAACAAGUUUAAAUGGGAAUUAACCCGUAAAACUGGAGCAUUUAGGUUAAUUGCUCUGUACAUGUCAGCCGUUAACAAUUGACGACUUUUAUAUACCAUGCACGGAAAGAAAUCCUGUCCGCGUGAUUGAUAACAUUCUGCAAUGAAACCGUUUACAUCGAAUGUUUUCAAAUUCGUUAGCAAUGUAAGCAAAAGUGCUCACAAUGUUAACACUUUAGCGUUUUUAGCUUGGCUUUUUGCAUACAGUUAGGCGUAUUCAAAAUUUCUGGAUGCGUUACGGCGCAGAGCAGAGCAAAGCGAAAAACACAUCAAAGAAAAGCAAUGAGUUUUGCGACCGCAAAACGUCAGCAUCAUGGGGAGCAUUGGGGUUAAAUAAAAUUCAACAUAUAUUUUUUUUACAAAACAGCUUAAUUGGGUCAGCAUAUGGUGAUGAAUGAUUUUGUUUAACACUUCAUAUUCAUAUGCAUUUAAAAUAGUAACUAACAUUGGCUAAAUUGAUCAGUUUGCGCUAAAAAAAAAUAUUGAACGAGUCACUUUACCCCAAUGUUCCCCAUGUUUUCGCGUCCGGUUGUCAUCGAAAAUUAAAGUGUUGUUUGUGUGAUUAGUGUGCGACGAAGAUGAAGUUUCCGGCCGAGGAGGUUCCAUCUAGGUGGUUCCAUCUGGUCGAGGAUGGCGAGGACAAAUAUGAUGCGCUGGGCAAGCAAACCGAGAGCACAUGCAUCACGAAAUCGAUCGGCUGUUGAAGAGAUCUGAACAAACCCUGGUCAACAUCCUGUUGGCCAACAACUACCAUCAACCGGACCUUUCCGAAGUUUUCUUCUGGUGGCCGAGGGCAUCUACGUAGAGAUGUUGCCGAAUUUCGGCCGGAGCAUGGUUGCCGACCGGAACUUCAAAACGGGUGACGUACUUUCGGACGCUAGGUGCAUUCCUCUUGGGCUGGGAUGCGGCACCAAUAAGAUGAACCGUGCGAUCCUUUUCAACUUGAGCUUCUGUGAAGGUUUCCGGCAGCAGUGGCAGUAACUACUUCAAUACGGCAUUACAAUUCACAGGACAACGAACAGCGCCAUAGCAAUAAACCAGUAAACCAAUUCGCAAA